This 98-nucleotide microRNA precursor is filed under the name Loxodonta africana (African savanna elephant). RNAcentral's name for it is "mir-544 microRNA precursor family". It matches the Rfam family "mir-544 microRNA precursor family". The record is from Rfam by way of RNAcentral. Lineage: Eukaryota; Metazoa; Chordata; Mammalia; Proboscidea; Elephantidae.
AUCCCCUUGAGAUCUUGUUAAAAAGCAGGUUUUGGUUCAGUGGUCCUGAAGUGGGGCCCAAGAUUCUGCAUUUCUAACAAGCUGCCAGGUGAAUCAAA